This 393-nucleotide ribosomal RNA is filed under the name uncultured bacterium. RNAcentral's name for it is "partial 16S ribosomal RNA". It matches the Rfam family "Bacterial small subunit ribosomal RNA", at positions 523 to 918 of the family's 1533-position model. The record is from RNAcentral.
AUACGGAGGAUCCGAGCGUUAUCCGGAUUUAUUGGGUUUAAAGGGUGCGCAGGCGGGAGAUUAAGUCGGCGGUGAAAUUUUGCAGCUCAACUGUAAAAGUGCCUUCGAAACUGGUUUCCUUGAGCGUAGAUGAAGUAGGCGGAAUUUGUGGUGUAGCGGUGAAAUGCAUAGAUAUCACGAGGAACUCCGAUUGCGCAGGCAGCUUACUAAACUACUACUGACGCUCAGGCACGAAGGCGUGGGGAUCAAACAGGAUUAGAUACCCUGGUAGUCCACACAGUAAACGAUGAUUACUAGCUGUUUGCGAUACAAUGUAAGCGGCUGAGCGAAAGCGUUAAGUAAUCCACCUGGGGAGUACGUUCGCAAGAAUGAAACUCAAAGGAAUUGACGGGG